UUGUGGUUAAAAAGCUCGUAGUUGGAUCUCGGCGGACUGAGGGCGGUUUGCUUGCUAGUAUUACUGCCCUAUAGUCCGUAGUUUUGCCAGAGGUUUCGGGGUGCUCUUAAUCGAGUGUCCCGGGAUGCUGGCAGGUUUACUUUGAAAAAAUUAGAGUGCUCAAAGCAGGCUAUUACGCCUGAAUAUUCGUGCAUGGAAUAAUAGAAAAGGAAGUCGUUUCUAUUUUGUUGGUUUUCGGAAAUCGACUUAAUGAUUAAUAGGGACAGUCGGGGGCAUUUGUAUUCAAACGACAGAGGUGAAAUUCUUGGACCGUUUGAAGACAAACUACUGCGAAAGCAUUUGCCAAGAAUGUUUUCAUUAAUCAAGAACGAAAGUUAAAGGUUCGAAGGCGAUUAGAUACCGCCCUAGUUUUAACCAUAAACGAUGCCAGCUAGCGAUCUGCGGACGUUUUUUUUGUAGACUCCGCAGGAAGCUUCCGGGAAACCAAAGCAUUUGGGUUCCAGGGGAAGUAUGGUUGCAAAGCUGAAACUUAAAGGAAUUGACGGAAGGGCACCACCAGGAGUGGAGCCUGUGGCUUAAUUUGACUCAACACGGGAAAUCUCACCAGGCCCGGACACUGGAAGGAU
RNAcentral lists this ribosomal RNA (626 nucleotides) under uncultured marine eukaryote. RNAcentral describes it as "SSU rRNA". It matches the Rfam family "Eukaryotic small subunit ribosomal RNA", at positions 613 to 1240 of the family's 1831-position model. The record is from RNAcentral.